This 372-nucleotide ribosomal RNA is filed under the name uncultured organism. Its description in RNAcentral is "bacterial SSU rRNA". It matches the Rfam family "Bacterial small subunit ribosomal RNA", at positions 526 to 896 of the family's 1533-position model. The record is from RNAcentral.
CAGAGGUCUCAAGCGUUGUUCGGAUUCAUUGGGCGUAAAGGGUGCGUAGGCGGCGCGGUAAGUCGGGUGUGAAAUCUCGGGGCUUAACUCCGAAACUGCAUUCGAUACUGCCGUGCUUGAGGACUGGAGAGGAGACUGGAAUUUACGGUGUAGCGGUGAAAUGCGUAGAUAUCGUAAGGAGGACCAGUGGCGAAGGCGGGUCUCUGGACAGUUCCUGACGCUGAGGCACGAAGGCCAGGGGAGCAAACGGGAUUAGAUACCCCGGUAGUCCUGGCAGUAAACGGUGCACGUUUGGUGUGGGAGGAUUCGACCCCUUCUGCGCCGGAGCUAACGCGUUAAACGUGCCGCCUGGGGAGUACGGUCGCAAGAUUA